This 252-nucleotide ribosomal RNA is filed under the name Romboutsia timonensis. RNAcentral's name for it is "partial 16S ribosomal RNA". It matches the Rfam family "Bacterial small subunit ribosomal RNA", at positions 524 to 776 of the family's 1533-position model. The record is from RNAcentral. Lineage: Bacteria; Bacillati; Bacillota; Clostridia; Peptostreptococcales; Peptostreptococcaceae.
UACGUAGGGGGCUAGCGUUAUCCGGAAUUACUGGGCGUAAAGAGUGCGUAGGUGGUUUCUUAAGUCAGAGGUGAAAGGCUACGGCUCAACCGUAGUAAGCCUUUGAAACUGGGAAACUUGAGUGCAGGAGAGGAGAGUGGAAUUCCUAGUGUAGCGGUGAAAUGCGUAGAUAUUAGGAGGAACACCAGUUGCGAAGGCGGCUCUCUGGACUGUAACUGACACUGAGGCACGAAAGCGUGGGGAGCAAACAGG